CGAGGGGCAGCAUGGUCUUAGCUUGCUAAGGCCGAUGGCGACCGGCGCACGGGUGAGUAACACGUAUCCAACCUGCCGUCUACUCUUGGACAGCCUUCUGAAAGGAAGAUUAAUACAAGAUGGCAUCAUGAGUCCGCAUGUUCACAUGAUUAAAGGUAUUCCGGUAGACGAUGGGGAUGCGUUCCAUUAGAUAGUAGGCGGGGUAACGGCCCACCUAGUCUUCGAUGGAUAGGGGUUCUGAGAGGAAGGUCCCCCACAUUGGAACUGAGACACGGUCCAAACUCCUACGGGAGGCAGCAGUGAGGAAUAUUGGUCAAUGGGCGAGAGCCUGAACCAGCCAAGUAGCGUGAAGGAUGACUGCCCUAUGGGUUGUAAACUUCUUUUAUAAAGGAAUAAAGUCGGGUAUGGAUACCCGUUUGCAUGUACUUUAUGAAUAAGGAUCGGCUAACUCCGUGCCAGCAGCCGCGGUAAUACGGAGGAUCCGAGCGUUAUCCGGAUUUAUUGGGUUUAAAGGGAGCGUAGAUGGAUGUUUAAGUCAGUUGUGAAAGUUUGCGGCUCAACCGUAAAAUUGCAGUUGAUACUGGAUAUCUUGAGUGCAGUUGAGGCAGGCGGAAUUCGUGGUGUAGCGGUGAAAUGCUUAGAUAUCACGAAGAACUCCGAUUGCGAAGGCAGCCUGCUAAGCUGC
This 685-nucleotide ribosomal RNA is filed under the name uncultured Bacteroidales bacterium. Its description in RNAcentral is "bacterial SSU rRNA". It matches the Rfam family "Bacterial small subunit ribosomal RNA", at positions 63 to 737 of the family's 1533-position model. The record is from RNAcentral. Lineage: Bacteria; Pseudomonadati; Bacteroidota; Bacteroidia; Bacteroidales.